Molecule: ribosomal RNA, 280 nt
Filed under: Clostridioides difficile
Lineage: Bacteria; Bacillati; Bacillota; Clostridia; Peptostreptococcales; Peptostreptococcaceae
Description: partial 23S ribosomal RNA
Rfam family: Bacterial large subunit ribosomal RNA
Source: RNAcentral
AAGGUUCGUCCGCCCUGGGUUAGUCGGGACCUAAGCUGAGGCCGAAAGGCGUAGGUGAUGGACAACAGGUUGAUAUUCCUGUACUACCGAUAACCGUUUGAGAGAUGGGAUGACACAGUAGGAUAAGCUAAGCACACUGUUGGUUAUGUGUGCCCAAGCAUUGAGGCAGUCAAAGUAGGUAAAUCCGCUUUGAUAAUGCUGGGAUGUGAUGGGGAGCGAAAUUUAGUAGCGAAGUAGCUGAUUUCACACUGUCAAGAAAAGUCUCUAUCGAGGUUAAAGG